CGGACGGGUGAGUAACGCGUGGGUAACCUGCCUCAUACAGGGGGAUAACAGUUAGAAAUGACUGCUAAUACCGCAUAAGCGCACAGGGCUGCAUGGCCCGGUGUGAAAAACUCCGGUGGUAUGAGAUGGACCCGCGUCUGAUUAGCUGGUUGGAGGGGUAACGGCCCACCAAGGCGACGAUCAGUAGCCGGCCUGAGAGGGUGAACGGCCACAUUGGGACUGAGACACGGCCCAG
RNAcentral lists this ribosomal RNA (235 nucleotides) under uncultured bacterium. RNAcentral describes it as "partial 16S ribosomal RNA". It matches the Rfam family "Bacterial small subunit ribosomal RNA", at positions 99 to 334 of the family's 1533-position model. The record is from RNAcentral.